Long non-coding RNA from Clupea harengus (Atlantic herring), 3570 nucleotides. The record is from Ensembl. NCBI's taxonomy places the organism in Eukaryota, Metazoa, Chordata, Actinopteri, Clupeiformes, Clupeidae.
UGGGGGGAUGGAGGGAUGGUGUAAGGAGAGUCUGGGGUGUGUAUGAGAGGCUGUGUAUGUGUGCGUGUAAUGAGAAUCUAGGGACAUGGGAAGACUGGGAGAGAGGGUGAAGGGGUGCAGGUCUCUCAGGCGGUUGGGGUGGGGGUGGCAUUUUGAGACGUGAAGAGAAUGACGCUGUUUGGAUAAGUGUGUGUGUGUGUCUGUAUGUGUGUGUGUGUGUGUGGGGGGGGGGGGCGGGCAGUCAUUGAUGUGGACUUCCUGGAGAGGGGACACUGUUCUACCUUAGUUCCUUCCAUGCAUUACGCGAGAGGCAUCCUGAACAUCUGAUUAAGUAAUAAAGAAACCCUAUCUCCAACUUUGGCUUUCACACAGAUAAACAUAUCCCCACAUCUAGUGUCUACCUCUCCAGACCAUCAGGAUAAGGUAUUUUAUUUGCUGCUAUUUUGUUUCCAUUAUCAUCGUGAAAGUCUUCAGUCUUCAGUGAAACACUUGUGUUCGCUUGUGUUUUCAACUGUCUGUAAUAUGGUCUGGACACUACUAAACUUGCUGGUAAUCAUGCUUUCCAAACUUCAGUGUUUGCGUAAGCAGUGUGUGAUAAAAGUAGGUCAGGAGCACCUCCUUUUAACUUCUCUCUCCCAUCCAGCCGGGUUAAAGGGACUCUGCUCAAUGCAGGAACAUGAUAACACUGCCGUGGACAGACGAGCCAGAAGGACACAGACUCUGGACCGCGUCCGACACACGUUCCGCUUUAUUUCUUUUUCAUUAUUUCAUUAUUGUAUUAACAUACAUGAUACACAUACAUAACGUAAGUGGAAGACACGAUCCAAUAGGAAAGUGCAAGGGGCGCAAGAAGCUCAGAUGGACUUAUCUAGCUUAUUUAGGUCCAGAGUCGUUGUGGAGGUAGCUGCUAUCUGGGUUAUGAAAUAUUUGUCCUGCGUAUGGUUUGGAAAGCUCUCUCUUUUGACAUCAACACCGACCCCUCACCUAGAUCUUCACAAUGCUUAUUAUGAAAUAGCGACCUGCUAACUGCUAAAUAUACCCCUGCCAGCCAUAAUAGGACUACACUCUAAUAGCCGCGGCCAGAAAUAUCUGGUAGUAAAAUGAGACAACUCUCUGCUGGAUAUUCAUAGCAGGCAUAACAUGGAGCAUUCACAUCUCACCCUCUUAUCAUCAUUCAGACUCCACGCCUGAAUGUCCAAACGCAAUAUGAAGAACAUGCUGGUCUGUGAAUGAGUACAGGUUAAGUCAAACUACUAUACCUACUAUAACAUGACCUAUCACCAUUACUUAACAGAUGUGGCACUGCAUUUUUGUUGAGGAACAAUUUUGUGUAGAUAUGGUCUAGACACCUUGAUAAGUGGCAAGUCUGCUUCAGUCAGCAGGCAGUCAACAUCUAGUUAUGUGAUUACGGCACAAUUUUCUUUAAUUCUUUUUAGUCUUAUUAUUACGCCGUUUUUUUAUUGUCUUAUCUCCACCCACAGUUUUCAUGAUAUUGACACCAUUCUAGAAUUCACAGGUCCACCCCAAUGCCACGUACUUGGUUUACACCUUGCUUUUUGAAAGACCGGGGCAGGUAAUUUUUUUGCUGUUUUUAAAAAGCUUAUUUUCCCUGAGAAAAUGAAUGAGAUAAAUAGUUGUUUGCCCAGAGGCAGCUGAGCUUCUUCAGUAACUUUGCCAUUUUGUAACAUUUAAAAGAAGGAAAAACUCCCUUUUAACAGGAAGACACCUUCAGCAGAACCUCAGCUUAGGCUUAUCAGAUAAAUAUGUAUUUGUCAUCCAACAGCUGGUAGGAGAGUCAAAUCCGUCUUGUGUAAAGUGAAGUCUUAGCAUCCACGUAAUUGCAUAGGUUACAAUAUGCAACGGCAGGCUGCUGCUGCUGCUGCUGCUGCUGCUGCACAAUCACAUUCACAUCUCUGGUUACAUGUCUAUCCCCUCUUCACUGAUUGAGGAUCGUAGCUCCCUAAUAUUGUGGUCAGGGGCCGGAGAAAGUGGCCAUCCUUUAUCCUUUACCCCCCCCCCCCCCCCCCCCAAAAAACAAACAAAAAAAGGACACCCUAUCCUUGGAUCUAACCCACAUGAGGCCUGGUAAACAACGUGACGUGAGAGAGCUCAAUAUAGCACUGGGAUGCCAGGGAGGGGUUCGAGGGUUGACAAGUGAUAUUGGGGGGGGGUUUGAGAGGAGGCUAAGUUUAGGAGUGUCAUAUUUUAGCAUCCCAAUUGGAAGAAAACACACUCGCUCCACCACGCAAAUAAUCCCCCUGGUGUUCCUCACUGAGUCUCUCUGUCUCUCCCGUUACCGGGGUUCGGACGGGACUCGAAAUGCAUCUUUCAGGCGGGCUCCCACCGAGCCUUCUCACUGAACCUCACCUCUGAGUGAACCGGAGCGAUUGUAACGGAGACCGUGGUGGUGACGACUGCGCUGCGACUAGCGUCUCGGAUGUCUCCGAUCGUGGGUGAACACUGGAAGAAGCAAGGGCUUGCGGGCGGUGGCGGUGGAAGGGACUUUUCCGACAAGCGAAAGGCAUUUCGACCACAAAAAGGGGAAAAAAAAUAAAGCAGCCCCUGUUUCCCAUGCCUUCAGUCUCGAGUUUGGCCACACACAUAAUUAUAGACCUAGAGGACAGUAAGGCUGGCCAGCUGAACCCAGAGGCCUUGGUCACUGCAAAGGGGAAUCGUAUGUGUGCUAUUAGAGCGACGGACUCUGACACAGUUCUGGUCCCUGAUCUGUUCUGGAUCUGCACCACAUCAGUCCAGACCCGUUUCAGAAUUAUGAAGCAGAAUGGAAGUAUGCAAUAUGCACUACAGACUUUCCCCACUGACAAUGCUUGAUAAUCCUUCACAAUACCUUUAUCCCUCAUCCCUCAUAAUCAGAUGAUGGAGGACUUUCAUGACACAUUUGUAAGAUGAACAGUACUUGCCAUCUUUAAUGUGUCUAUGAAGUGGUUACUGGACUUAAUGAUGGAUAAAAAAAAAGCAGUACAAGGCUCUGAUAAUAGAAAUAGACUGUGUAUGAUUAAACUAAUUAUAUGUAUAGGAUAUGCUGUAUAGUUAGAAACAAAAAUCCAUACAGUGUACCAUGCUGAUUACUCAAUGUGCUAUUCAAUUUGUAUGUGUUACAUGCAACUACAGUAUGUUGCAGGGGUAAGUGAGGUUUUGUUGAGGCAAACAUCGAUGACUUAUUAGGUCUUAACCCUGACUGACAAACAUUCUCAUUUAUCUAUUAGGGUUUUUGACAGUCUUCAUUUGUCAUUUCUCUCGAGUCAACUACCUUAACCUGGGUUUUUGUACAUCAAACAUUAUAGAAAAUGGCGUGCCAAUCCACAUCAAUGUCCACUGCAAAACAGUGUGUGAUCGAGUAUGAGGCUGUGAGCGAACUAUAGUUUGUAACAUAACCAAGUCACGCUUGGAGCAGGGUUCCAGAUGCUUUGCCUAGCGCAUUGUCAUAUCUAUAACUAGCCUACCUGUAUGUAAAAAAGGAGAGCCCACCCGAGAAAAUCAUGUGCCGCUAACAAUUGUCUGGCGCCAGGUCUGGGUAGGAGGCCUGUUGUUCCGGGGAUAUACUAUUUAGUU